Molecule: ribosomal RNA, 504 nt
Filed under: uncultured bacterium
Lineage: Bacteria
Description: partial 16S ribosomal RNA
Rfam family: Bacterial small subunit ribosomal RNA
Source: RNAcentral
AUUGAACGCUGGCGGCAGGCUUAACACAUGCAAGUCGAGCGGAGCGAGGGUGCUUGCACCUUAGCUUAGCGGCGGACGGGUGAGUAAUGCUUAGGAAUCUGCCUAUUAGUGGGGGACAACAUUCCGAAAGGGAUGCUAAUACCGCAUACGCCCUACGGGGGAAAGCAGGGGAUCUUCGGACCUUGCGCUAAUAGAUGAGCCUAAGUCGGAUUAGCUAGUUGGUGGGGUAAAGGCCUACCAAGGCGACGAUCUGUAGCGGGUCUGAGAGGAUGAUCCGCCACACUGGGACUGAGGCACGGCCCAGACUCCUACGGGAGGCAGCAGUGGGGAAUAUUGGACAAUGGGCGGAAGCCUGAUCCAGCCAUGCCGCGUGUGUGAAGAAGGCCUUUUGGUUGUAAAGCACUUUAAGCGAGGAGGAGGCUACUAGUAUUAAUACUACUGGAUAGUGGACGUUACUCGCAGAAUAAGCACCGGCUAACUCUGUGCCAGCAGCAGCCGCGGUAA